RNAcentral lists this RNase P RNA (177 nucleotides) under Actinomycetota bacterium. Its description in RNAcentral is "Actinobacteria bacterium partial RNase P RNA component class A". It matches the Rfam family "Bacterial RNase P class A", at positions 188 to 367 of the family's 367-position model. Rfam says of the family: Ribonuclease P (RNase P) is a ubiquitous endoribonuclease, found in archaea, bacteria and eukarya as well as chloroplasts and mitochondria. Its best characterised activity is the generation of mature 5'-ends of tRNAs by cleaving the 5'-leader elements of precursor-tRNAs. Lineage: Bacteria; Bacillati; Actinomycetota. The record is from RNAcentral.
GGCAACGUAUAUGGCUAGGUAAACCCCACUUGGAGCAAGACCAGACAGAUAGCGUUUGAGAACUGCUCGUUCGAGCUAUCGGGUAGGUCGCUUGAUUACGUAAGCAAUUACGUAACUAGAUGGAUGGUGAUCCGUUCGCAAGAACGACAGGAUCCGGCUUAUAGGGCGACUCUUCUU